Molecule: long non-coding RNA, 2167 nt
Filed under: Scleropages formosus (Asian bonytongue)
Lineage: Eukaryota; Metazoa; Chordata; Actinopteri; Osteoglossiformes; Osteoglossidae
Description: lncRNA (ENSSFOG00015028662.1)
Source: RNAcentral
AGCCGCAUUCAAAUUUCAACUUCAAACGGCUUUUUGGGAUUAAAACCGCUUUUUGGGCUUUUUUAGCGAACGCGUCCGUCCUCUAAUGAAGACAUUACGCACUACAGUGCGCUCAUGAAUGGGAGCUGCAGUGCAGUAGCAACAGCUAUAAUUGAGGCAUUGACUGCCGACCAGUUUGGUGAGGAGACUCCAGUUCAGAACAGACAGCAAAUCAGGCUGUGGCAACCUAAAGAAGGAGAGGAGCGUGGAAAGCAGAUUCCUGCAAGCUGUCAGCAAACAGUAAGGCCUGGCAUCUCUUUUCCUUCACAUAUUUACCCUUCUGACCCAGACACCACCUGUCUACUGCCAUGGUUACGGGGACAGUCCCCUACAGAACAGGUUGGGUGCUCUGGCUUUGGUAGCCUAGGCCUGGCUCUCUGAGGGGUCUCUCUUGGCCCUGGUGUGGAGAGGCGGAUGCAGUUUGAUGCAGUGACACAGACAAGGUGGAGAUUCUCAGCUAGCAGUUAAGGCGUGCCCUUCUUACCGGGUGACAAGCUCGGAGUGCUCAUAAACGCCUGCGACACUCACACAGCGUGGGAGCCAGUGUUGAAAAUAGGUCAACUUCUGCUGAGCAGUGCCGCAGAUCACAUGUCACUUUGUCAAAGAGACCAGUCGACACAAGGAGGGGAGUGUGAAAUUAUAAUAUAAUUUCACACAAAUAUCAGUGCAGUGGAGGAAAAGUUCAUAUUUGUGUUGUAUUCUGUUCUAUUUCAUUAUCAGUAGAGGAGAAACUGCUCUAUUUAAGUGAAAUGAACAGCUUAACAAAGCUAUAAAAAGGAAUACACUUCAGUUAGUUUUUUUCUUGCAGUAAGUAAAGCAUUUAUUUUAAUUUAUUAUAUUUUAUUUUAUUUUAAUGAUGUUCAUUUCUCUACACCCAUUAACUGUCUCCCAAAGAGGUCAUUUGUUUGGUUGGUUACCUAGCAACUAAUAGUGCAUCACUGUGUAUGACAAUUGCUGGGUUCAGCCACUCUCAGCAAAGAGCCCCAGUAAAGAACUCAGUCCCUACUGGUACUGCAGCAGAAAGUGAACACUGUCUCAAAGCCACAUUUACAUUGCAACCGUCUUACAGUUUAAUGGUUUUCUUUAUGCAGCUGUGCAUUUACUGAAGAAUUUCAGGUUGCUUGUCUUUGGCGAUUUGAACCGUGAACUUUUUAGUGACAAGUCUGUAGCCCAUGAGACCACCUCAGUCAAUGAUGAAACAGGCUUGGCAGUAAGCUGUUAUAAAAUGUUUUUUUCAGUUAAGAUUUUUGAUUCUCAUCAUUUUGUUGCAAGAGUUGCAAUGGGAAUUCCUGACAACACAAAUCACCUUUACACUUUUUAAAGGAUUUCCAGGUGUAUGAGAAAAGUUUUUCUUGUAAUGAUUGAUGUUCUGGAGGUUGUGAAGGUAAGGCUGCUCUCAAGAAGUUAGCUGCAAUUUCCAGUUUUUUAAACCAUCAUAUGUUAGACAUUUGUUAUUAUUGUUUGCUGUUAUUGUAAUUAUUGUGAUUAUUAUUAGUAGUGUUCAGGAUAACAUGAUUGGGAUAGCAAGUGAAGUUCCACUGGUGUGGAACAAGUUCUGCUGAGCACGAACACAACGCAAGCUGUUCACAUUUAAAAUGCUGUGUAUUUGCACGUUACACUGACCAUCUCUAUCACGGUAUUAUCUGUGCAGAGACACUGAAAGGGCAAGGACUGUCCUUUGGAGAGUGUGUACUCCAAAAAAGGCCCUUUGGAGAGUGUGACGUGAGAAGGCUUCUUUUGAGGUUAUGACGAGAGACGAACUCUUUGGAGCGUGUGAUGCAAGAAGGGCCUUUGGAGAGUGUGAUGGGAGAAGGGCCCUUUGAUUUAUUCCCCACAUUUAUCUUUUAUUAAAUUUUACAUUAAAAAAUGUUGGAAGAGGAAUGAGGAAGUUGGGAGUUUAAAAUUGUUUUGUAUUUGUUCUUUUAUUUAUAUUUAAUUUUUAGUUCAAGCCCUGAGGCUUGCCACCUGAUGUCUCUUUAGAACUCUUUCUAAAAACUGCCCCACAGAGUUUCAUAAGUUUCCCCAGUGCCUGGUGUCUGUUUUUUGAAAUGUGUCCUCACCUCUGCACAUCAUGUAUAGCUUGAAGUAUAUUUUAAAAAAUAAAAAAAACCCAUAUUGGUCUUUGACA